Molecule: long non-coding RNA, 349 nt
Filed under: Sorghum bicolor (sorghum)
Lineage: Eukaryota; Viridiplantae; Streptophyta; Magnoliopsida; Poales; Poaceae
Description: long non-coding RNA (SBIC_LNC003098)
Source: RNAcentral
CUUGCUCCAAUCUUAGAAAGGUUAGUGACAAGAAUACCCGAAGGAAUAUUUUUUUUUACAAUUAUCCUUAUAUCCUCAAUACACAAGGUAAUGUUGCAAAUAAUUAAAGGCUCAUAUACGAUCUGAUCAAUGCUUAUUUUAAGACACUAAGCUUGCCCUUGGGAAACCAUCAGUUUAUGUUGGCGAAGUGGUUUCCCCUCCGACGCCAACCUAUAUCUAGAUCAACUCAACGAGAUCUGCAAUAUUUAUUAUAGACAUAUGCAUCGACAACCGCCCUUUUAAAGUUUUUAUAAAUAGAAAGGAAGAGGGGGUUGGAGAUCUCAAAUGUGGUGAUGUUGGAGAGACCAAU